RNAcentral lists this ribosomal RNA (497 nucleotides) under uncultured bacterium. RNAcentral describes it as "partial 16S ribosomal RNA". It matches the Rfam family "Bacterial small subunit ribosomal RNA", at positions 28 to 507 of the family's 1533-position model. The record is from RNAcentral.
GAUGAACGCUGGCGGCGUGCCUAAUACAUGCAAGUCGAGCGAACAGACGAGGAGCUUGCUCCUCUGACGUUAGCGGCGGACGGGUGAGUAACACGUGGAUAACCUACCUAUAAGACUGGGAUAACUUCGGGAAACCGGAGCUAAUACCGGAUAAUAAAUUGAACCGCAUGGUUCAAUAGUGAAAGACGGUUUUGCUGUCACUUAUAGAUGGAUCCGCGCCGCAUUAGCUAGUUGGUAAGGUAACGGCUUACCAAGGCAACGAUGCGUAGCCGACCUGAGAGGGUGAUCGGCCACACUGGAACUGAGACACGGUCCAGACUCCUACGGGAGGCAGCAGUAGAGAAUCUUCCGCAAUGGGCGAAAGGCUGACGGAGCAACGCCGCGUGAGUGAUGAAGGUCUUCGGAUCGUAAAACUCUGUUAUUAGGGAAGAACAAAUGUGUAAGUAACUAUGCACGUCUUGACGGUACCUGAUCAGAAAGCCACGGCUAACUACGUG